This is a long non-coding RNA of Piliocolobus tephrosceles (Ugandan red Colobus), 3925 nucleotides long. Lineage: Eukaryota; Metazoa; Chordata; Mammalia; Primates; Cercopithecidae. The record is from Ensembl.
AUGUUGAUACAAAUCAACAUGAUUAUAAUAUAUCAUUUUUUAGCUACAUUAAUCCCUUCAAGUCAUUAUAAAAAAAGAUUAGAAAGAUUAGAAUAUAAAUUGUCUAGAUACUAUUUUCGAGCAUUAAUAUAUGAAGGAUUACAUUUUCCUGCUAAAGGAUAUAAUUCCUUUCCUGAUCCAUACAUAAAAAUUGAGGUAGGUGGUCAUGUAAUAAAGACAAAUACAAUUUUACAAACAUUAAAUCCAAAUUAUUUUGAAGCAUAUGAAGAAGAAGUUAUUUUACCAACUAAUUUAAGUCUAGCACCAGAUAUAACAAUCGAAGCAUAUUCCGUUAAUAAAACUUUUUUAUAUAAUGAUGAUAUUUUAUUAGGUAGUUGUACUUAUCCAAUUAUAAAAGUUCCAAUAGAAUGGAAAAAAUCACCUAUAUGGGUAAAUCUGAAUUCUUCAAAAUAUGUAAAAUGUAAAGCAAAAUUAUUAAUAGCGUUUGAAUUAGUACCUUAUGAAAAAGUUAAAAAUGAUUCAUAUAUUUUUUAUGAUGAUAUAAGACCAUCUACAUUACCAGGACAUAUUUCUUUAUUUUUAGUUGGUAUUAGAAUGUUUAAACCUGUGAAAAAUCCAUCUGUAACUGUAUGUUUUGGACGUGAUGUUAAUGAUACUGCUCAAUUUUUAUGGUAUGAAAAUACAAAUAAAGUUAUAGCAGGUAAAGAAGGUAAUUUUAAUUUUUUAAAAUAUUUUUAUUUAGAUGCAGAAUUACCUAAAAGAAUGCAACAUCACAGCUUUUUAGAAGUUCGAAUUGAAGAUGGUGUAUCUUCCAACACUGAUAGUGGUGGUGGUGGUAGUGGUGGUGUUAGUUCUUACAAUAUUGUAGAAGGGGAAAAUAAAACAAAUAUAAAUAAUAACCAAAAUACAAUAACAGCAACUAAUAAUAAUUUUUUAAUCGGAACUGCUUAUAUAACUCUAAACCCAUUAUUACCAUGGCUAGAUGAUUAUGAAAAAACUCAAUGUAGAGAGUUAUUUAAGUUAAAUUUUUUAGAAGAAAUGUUAAUUGAAGAUGCAGAGGCAGAAAUGAAAAAUUAUAAUAGUUCUUUAAUAUAUAAAAAGAGUUCUAUGUUUUCAAAAAAAAUGAAUACACUUACUGAUAGUAAUGUUGAAGAUUGGGAAGAUUUUAUGUUGCAAGAUAUAGAAGUUGGAAUUAAUGAAAAUAAGAAUAAUGGUAUUUUAUUAGAACCCGUAUCUACACAUUUGUUAAAUAUGGUUGAUAGUAAAAAUGGUAAUAUAAUUGAUAAAAAUAAUAAUAUGUUUAAUCAACAACGUACUACAUUCCAUCAACAGAAUAGAAUACUAAAUCAACAAGAUAAUAAUAUAUUAGAUCAUUGGAGUAGUAACCCAAGUGAUAUAUAUGCUAGUACUAUGGAUUUACAGGGUAGUACUAUGGAUUUACAGGGUAGUAUUGCAGAUAUACAGAGUAGUACUAUGGAUAUACAGGGUAGUACUUCAGAUAUGCAGGGUAAUACUUCAGAUAUACAGGGUAACAUGAAUUAUCAAAAUAGUCCACACUACCAACUAAUAAAUCAGAACCAGAACAAAAAUAUGGACAAAAAUGAGGAAAAAAAUAUGGACAAAAAUGAAGAAAAAAAUAUGGAGAAAAACCAAAGCGAUGAUAUACAAUUAGCCAUAAAAGAAAAUAUAAAAAUAGGUAGUAAGGAAAAAAUGGUUAAGUCUAUAAAAAGUGAAAAAACUGGGAAAAAAAAAAUUUAUCGUAAUAAUGAUUAUGUACCAUAUAAUGAUCCAGAUUUUGCAAAUGUACGAAUAGAAGAAGCAUUAGAACAUAUCUGUUUUGAUACAAAAAAUAUAAACCAAAAUAAUUCAGACAAAAAUAAUUCAGACAAAAAUAAUUCAGACAAAAAUAAUUCAGAAGUUAUUGAUAAAAUAAAUCCAAAUAAUGAAAUAAAAACAGAUGAAAAUAAAAUAGAAUCAGAAAAAAAUAAUAGAAAUAAAAGUAUUUAUGGAUUUGAUGAAGAUGAAUUAAAUUUCCAAUUGUCUAUGGCAAAUGAUGAUGAACAAGAAGAAUUGCAAAGAGAUGAAAUGGUUUAUGAAUAUGAACUAGAUAUGGAUAUAAAUGAUUUGCCAUAUUUAAGAGCAACAAUAUUUAGAUGCACAGAUUCGGGUAUACCGGAAGCUGUAGGAUAUUUAAAAUAUAUUUGUAACGUAUAUGAUAAAAAAACUUUACAUAAAAAAAAAGAAAUGAUAAAAAAAUGUGAAAAUUUAGUAAAAGAAUAUAAAUUAACACGUAAUUUAGUAGUUAGAGCUUAUAUAAUACAAGCUAGAGGAUUAAAUCCACCAUCUGGUUCUACAGACAUUACAACUUAUGUUUGGAUAAAAAAUAGUGAUGAAAUAAUUAAUAUUCCUGGUGGUUUUUCACAUAAUAUAAAAGAUAUAAAUUAUACAAAAAAACAAGGAUAUAAACCUGAAUUUAAUAAAUGUUAUCAAUUGUUGUGUUCAUUCCCUGACGAAUCCAUUGUACAAGUAAGUAUAAUGAAUCAAGGAGCUUUAUCAGAUGAAAUUAUUGGUUAUACACAUAUAGAUAUGGAAGAUAGAUAUUUUAAUAAAAAAAUAAGAAGACUAAUGUUGGAUGAUUUAAUGCCUAUAGAAAUGAGAUCUUUAAAAUUAGAAAAUUCAACAAUAUCCCAUGGAUCUUUAAGAUGUUGGUUUGAAAUUUUUAAUAAAGAAUAUACACAACUUAAUCCAGUAAAAUUAAUUAAUGCAACAGAGUUUGAAGAAUUCGAAUUAAGAUUAGUUGUAUGGAGAGUAACACAAGUAGCAAUGGAUGAUAAUUCAACCGUUAGUUUAUUUGUUAGAUGUAUAUAUACUGAUGAAAAUAUAGAAGAUUUGAGAGAUACGGAUACACAUUAUAAUAGUAAAGAUGGGAAAGCAGUUUUUAACUGGCGAUUUGUUUAUAAUAUUAAAAUACCCACCAAUGCUACAACUAUAAAAGUACAAAUUCAUAAUUAUGCUUUGUUAACUGCGAAUGAGCCGAUUGGUGAAGCUACGUUUGAUUUAUCUUCUCACUUUUAUAAGGCGCGCAAGAAGAAGGCUUAUUACCAAAUACCUCGAUUUUGGCUCGCGUGCAAGCAUCCCGCACACAAACACAAAAUCCGUGGAAACGUAGAAAUGGAGGCAAGCAUUUUGCCAAAAGUAGAUGCAGACAUUGAACCGGUUGGUAAUGGAAGAGAUGAACCGAAUUUGAACCCAUUUUUGCCAGAAGUCACUGAAAACAGAACUUACGUUGAUUGGGUAAUGAUUAACGAAAAGGUGGGGGAAGCCACUGCAUCUAUCAUGUAUGGAUUAAAAUGGACAGGCGUAUGGAUCGUCGUGGCGGCAGUCGUUGGUGGAAUCCUCUUCCUUAUGAUUUUGUUAAAAUGAAGACUAUAAUUUUUUUUUUUUUUUUUUUUUUUUUUUUUUUCUAUUUUUCUGAGCUUACCGAUUUAUAAUACUAUUUAAAAUUCAUAAACAGAGUAGCACAUAUAUAUAUAUAUAUAUCUACUCAAUUUUUUGGUCCAAUCAGACCCACUUCAAUCCCUCACAUACAUACAUACAUACACACCCAAAUGUUUUAAGGAUAUAUAUAAAAAAAGGCAAGGUAGUCCCAGAAAUUAACGGGUCUACCUAUAAAUUUAUUAUAAUUUUUAAUAACACAUGUAUCUAAAUGUGAAAUAUUUUUAAUCAAUUUUAAGAAAUUUUUAUAUAUAUUAUUAUAUUGCGAAUUUUGUUUUUUUAAAGUGUAUAAGUAUACAGCAUGCUCACAUAACUUCGUUAAAUAUUUACCAAACUGUAUUGUAUACAACUUUCUUUUAAUCGUUAAUAUGUUUUUGUCAUCGUAAAAACAUACAUCCUUGCUUCUAUUAUAAUUUGUGUGGGUGUUAGU